CCUACGGGAGGCAGCAGUGGGGAAUAUUGGACAAUGGGCGAAAGCCUGAUCCAGCCAUGCCGCGUGUGUGAAGAAGGCCUUCGGGUUGUAAAGCACUUUCAGUGGGGAAGAAAGCCUUGGGGCUAAUACCCUCGAGGAAGGACAUCACCCACAGAAGAAGCACCGGCUAACUCCGUGCCAGCAGCCGCGGUAAUACGGAGGGUGCGAGCGUUAAUCGGAAUUACUGGGCGUAAAGCGCGCGUAGGCGGUCUGAUAAGCCGGUUGUGAAAGCCCCGGGCUCAACCUGGGAACGGCAUCCGGAACUGGCAGGCUAGAGUGCAGUAGAGGAAGGUAGAAUUCCCGGUGUAGCGGUGAAAUGCGUAGAGAUCGGGAGGAAUACCAGUGGCGAAGGCGGCCUUCUGGACUGACACUGACGCUGAGGUGCGAAAGCGUGGGUAGCAAACAGGAUUAGAUACCCCAGUAGUC
RNAcentral lists this ribosomal RNA (465 nucleotides) under Vreelandella stevensii. RNAcentral's name for it is "partial 16S ribosomal RNA". It matches the Rfam family "Bacterial small subunit ribosomal RNA", at positions 338 to 795 of the family's 1533-position model. Lineage: Bacteria; Pseudomonadati; Pseudomonadota; Gammaproteobacteria; Oceanospirillales; Halomonadaceae. The record is from RNAcentral.